AUGUGCUGGAAUGUCCGAGGCUUGAACAAUCCAGCGAAGAGGCAAGCGGUCAAAGAUUUCCUAGUCUCGGUGCGGCCUAACUUAGUGUGCUUACAAGAAACUAAGCUUGAUGUAGUGGAUAGUUUUCUUAUAAUGCAAUGUUGUGGGCCGUCCUUAGACGGCUUUGCUUAUUUGCCGGCGGUUGACACGAGAGGUGGGAUCAUAUUAGCCUGGAAU
This 216-nucleotide ribosomal RNA is filed under the name Triticum aestivum (bread wheat). Its description in RNAcentral is "partial small subunit ribosomal RNA". The record is from RNAcentral. Lineage: Eukaryota; Viridiplantae; Streptophyta; Magnoliopsida; Poales; Poaceae.